This 169-nucleotide ribosomal RNA is filed under the name Drosophila martensis. RNAcentral's name for it is "partial 16S ribosomal RNA". Lineage: Eukaryota; Metazoa; Arthropoda; Insecta; Diptera; Drosophilidae. The record is from RNAcentral.
UUAAAUUUUAUUUAUUAAUUUAAUUAGUUCUUGUUUAAAAUAUUAAAAAUAAUUUUAUAAAAGAAAGUUUUAGUAUUGUUUAAAGAAAAAAUAAUUUUAAUAAUAGUUUAAUAGUAUUGUAAAAGAAAAUUGAAAUAUUUUGAAAAAUUAUUAUUUUAAAAGAAAAUUU